This is a non-coding RNA of Camellia sinensis, 968 nucleotides long. NCBI's taxonomy places the organism in Eukaryota, Viridiplantae, Streptophyta, Magnoliopsida, Ericales, Theaceae. The record is from RefSeq and is a predicted model, not a curated record.
AUCUGGCAAAGCAGUCCAUGUUUGACACUUCUUUCAAAAAAUUUGUUUUUUCUCAAAAAACGAUUUGCCGGAUUUGGACUCUUUGGUUUAGACUUAGAACCGUGACAAAUUUGAGACUCCUGAGCUAUAGUGACUCCAAAUGAACAGAACGGGAUUUCCCUCAUGGGGCGUUCGGGGACGUCUACACCAAGGCCAAGUCUUCAUGAAGACGUUCGUUUUCAGCGAUCAUGUUCUCCAACUUCUGUUCAUUUUGCUUUGCUUGUUCCAUGAUCGCCUGCAUUGUCUCAUGCUCCGAAGUCGAGGAUGAGGCGAAGUUCAAGGCACGUCUUGCGGCGAUAGUGUCCGGUCCAAGCAUAUGUUUGUUGGAGUGAGGUCGUCUCUUUGCGUGGUUUUAUCAGUAACUAUUGGAGGAUCUUCUGUUACGCCUGCCAUGGAUAUAUUUGAGUAUUCUCACAGACGGCGCCAAUUGUGGAAAAGUGGUUUGGAAAUACUCUUCUGAUCAUAGGGGACACUAAUGAUCCUCUUCGAGUCACCUGAAAAGAGAUAAACACUUUGGUCGGGAGUGCCGGAAUUAGCACUCCGACGUGCAAUGUGUGCGGAUUUGGUUCGCAGUGCCAAGGAUAAGAGGCUGGGGGUGAAGGGACCUGUCAAGAUGCCCACCAAGGUUCUUCACAUCACUACCAAGAAGUCCCCUUGUGGUGAAGGUACUGAGUAUAGAAAUAUUUUGAUCUAUUACUUGAUGUUAUUAUAGUGGUAGGUAGUUUUGAUUAAAAGAGCAUACAACUGCACUUGUAACAUUUUCCAUUGGAUUGUGAAUUUGUUUCUAUGUUUAACUGUUCACUGAGGUUUCCAUGUAUUUAUGUCCUGGCUGGUUGGUUUUUUUAGUAGUUUAUUGUAAUGUUUUUGUGCAUUGGUCAAAUGUGCUUGCUUAAUAUAUAGCUACAUAAUAAACUUUCAUGUCGUGCAAA